This 240-nucleotide long non-coding RNA is filed under the name Fukomys damarensis (Damara mole-rat). Its description in RNAcentral is "lncRNA (ENSFDAG00000027130.1)". The record is from RNAcentral. Lineage: Eukaryota; Metazoa; Chordata; Mammalia; Rodentia; Bathyergidae.
CAAAGACACAAAUUAACCCUGCUGCAUAAGUAAUUGAGUUCAUCCAUGAUAGGCCCCCGAGGUUUGCCUUGGACUCAGAUGCCUAAGCAUCAAGACGCAAAAAGAAAAAUCUCACCCUAAAACUGAAAUUAUCCCACUUGCUAAUGGAAGAAUAAUAUACAGCUACAACAUUUCCUGUACACAAAUUACAAAACUAAGAACUACUUUUACAGUAAGUCAAAUUACUAGAUCAUAUUUUUA